Non-coding RNA from Dermacentor albipictus, 654 nucleotides. Lineage: Eukaryota; Metazoa; Arthropoda; Arachnida; Ixodida; Ixodidae. The record is from RefSeq and is a predicted model, not a curated record.
ACUUGUUAUUAUAUUUUACUGGACGCCUUAUAUCUGGAUUUCUCAUGAGAAUCACCAGUGCAUCGCAGUCUGCCAGCGUCUCCGAACACCUCACAGUCACCUGCAGCACAUGUGCUUACACAAAACAGCUUGAAAAUACAAUUCACAAAGAGCAUUCAUAACAUAGCACAACUAAUCAUUUCAAGGCACACCAGAAGUCAGGACAAGGAGCCAGAUCUAUCUCACAGUCGUACACACCACCACUUGUGGCACCUGUUGCUGCGGUUGGGAAGUUGCAUUCGCUACUUGCUCGAAACACUGUAUUUUGUGUGAUGCCUUGAUUCUCAAGCACAUGUGCAACUGAGUGUAUUGCGGUCUUUUUAGAGCACCAGCAAAUCCCCGCCUUGGCAUCAAACCUUUUGACCAUGCACUCUGAAAUGUAUUCGCAACCAUCAACACCCCAAGAUCAAACCUCUUUGGGAGAAGAGCAACAAAAUUGGAUCCGCCUGACCUUCCUUUUUUAAAACAAAGCAUUACUUUGUUUUCCUUCAUUUCCCACUGAGCGGAUCAACACGGAUCUAGCGUCGCCGUGCCUGCUGAAUCCUCUUCUGAUGGCGCAGCUGUGAGGCAUAUCUACGAAAGAUUGCUUAAGAAGAGGGUGACUUAACUGGUGGC